Non-coding RNA from Phodopus roborovskii (desert hamster), 74 nucleotides. The record is from the annotation of a RefSeq genome assembly. Lineage: Eukaryota; Metazoa; Chordata; Mammalia; Rodentia; Cricetidae.
CCGAGGAUGUAGCUCAGUGGUAGAGUGUUUGCCUAACCUGCAGGAGGGCCUGGGUUCAAUCCCCAGUACUUGGG